Molecule: long non-coding RNA, 1161 nt
Organism: Raphanus sativus (radish)
Lineage: Eukaryota; Viridiplantae; Streptophyta; Magnoliopsida; Brassicales; Brassicaceae
Exons: 3
Source: RefSeq, a predicted model, not a curated record
AACCCUAAUUGAGUUUGAGAGUCCUCUCCUUCGUCCUCCCUGUCUCCAUCGGCGCCGACCUUGACGAAACGGAUGCUGUAACGGAUGCGUUGCGUGCUCAUCGUAAUUACUCCGAGUGUCUUUAAUUCGCGUCUCUGAUACGACCUCUUCGGUUGCUCCAUGAAAUCAGUCUUUAAUUCGUUAUAUCUUAAUCUGAUUUCCCUUUUCGUGAUUGCUACUUACCGUGAAUUUCGUAAAUGGUUUUUUUCAGGGAUUUGUCUAUUAGUUAAGAUUAUAUCAUUGAUUUGAUUUUUUUUCUGUAUGCACUGAUUACCAGUUGAUAGAAUUUGAUUUUAGAAGAGAUGGUCUUAAACGUCCAGUUGUCUUACCGAACUUAAGGUUUGAAACUUUUACAUGUCUUUUUUUUGGCAGAUCGUAUGAGCUUCUUCUUCUUCUUUAUGUCAGUUUCAGGGACUGCACUAAAAAUCUGGGAGCCUUUGUUUUGUUUCCAGGCAUCUCUUUCUCAAGCACAGAAGAAACAUUAAUACAAACUUUUUUCUCAAUAUGGUUGUGUUCUUGGUGGUCAGUCUAUUAAUCUUAAGAUGUGUUGAUAUAGAUGGAAGAGAGGGGAGCAGAGACAGGCAAAGAGACCGUAGAGAUAAGCAUAUAGAUCAUCAAAACUUACGACAAGGAUAGACUGAGAAGCAGAAGCAGAAGCCGAGAGAGGGAAAGAGGAGGCAAGGAUCUGGAUUAUGACUAUGACCAUGCUCGGAACAAAGACAGAGAAUACAGUCGUGGAAGCAGUCCGGUCGAUGUUCCUCCACGGUUGAGGUUAAGUUGCUCCGCCAGGAAUGUCAAACGCUGUAAGGAAUGAAGCAUAGAGCCCCUGCAUAUAUAAAGUGCAUUUCAGACUACGGCCAAUGUAUUUGUUGUCUUCUAUUCUGGGGAAAGAGCAUAAAGUUUUUUUAAAAAGAUUUCAAGGCUUUUGGGGCCAAUGACUAUCCUAUUCCUUUCCAUGAUGAUUCUGGCAGACGAGCUUAAAUGAUGAUAGAGUUAUAUAUAAUCUCUUGAUAUGUGAUUGAUAUUGGGUUCUUUUCUUCUGUCCCAACAUCAUGAAUUCUAUGUAUUUUUUAAUCUGCAUAUACCUAGACGCUAUUUAUUAAAACGAUUUCUUUUAUACAA